GAGCUAAUACAUGCUAAAAACCUCGACUUCGGAAGGGGUGUAUUUAUUAGAUAAAAAACCAAUGCCCUUCGGGGCUGCUUGGUGAUUCAUAAUAACUUAACGAAUCGCAUGGCCUUGCGCCGGCGAUGGUUCAUUCAAAUUUCUGCCCUAUCAACUUUCGAUGGUAAGGUAGUGGCUUACCAUGGUCUCAACGGGUAACGGGGAAUUAGGGUUCUAUUCCGGAGAGGGAGCCUGAGAAACGGCUACCACAUCCAAGGAAGGCAGCAGGCGCGCAAAUUACCCAAUACUAAUUCAGUGAGGUAGUGACAAUAAAUACUGAUACGGGGCUCUUUCGGGUCUCGUAAUUGGAAUGAGUACAAUCUAAAUCCCUUAACGAGGAACAAUUGGAGGGCAAGUCUGGUGCCAGCAGCCGCGGUAAUUCCAGCUCCAAUAGCGUAUAUUAAAGUUGUUGCCGUUAAAAAGCUCGUAGUUGAACCUUGGACCUGGCUGAUCUGUCCUCCUAAUCGAGCGUACGGAUUCGGUCGGGUCUUUUCUUCUGGGGAGCCUUAUGCCCUUCACUGGGUGUAAUGGGGAACCAGGACUUUUACCUUGAAAAAAUUAGAGUGUUCAAAGCAGGCCUUUGCUCGAAUACAUUAGCAUGGAAUAAUAGAAUAGGACAUCGGUUCUAUUUUGUUGGUUUCUAGGACCGCUGUAAUGAUUAAUAGGGAUAGUCGGGGGCGUCCGUAUUCAAUUGUCAGAGGUGAAAUUCUUGGAUUUAUUGAAGACGAACUACUGCGAAAGCAUUCGCCAAGGAUGUUUUCAUUAAUCAGUGAACGAAAGUUAGGGGAUCGAAGACGAUCAGAUACCGUCGUAGUCUUAACCAUAAACUAUGCCGACUAGGGAUCGGACGGUGGUUUUUUUAUGCCCCGUUCGGCACCUUACGAGAAAUCAAAGUGUUUGGGCUCGGGGGGGAGUAUGGUCGCAAGGCUGAAACUUAAAGAAAUUGACGGAAGGGCACCACAAGGCGUGGAGCCUGCGGCUUAAUUUGACUCAACACGGGGAAACUCACCAGGUCCAGACAUGCUUAGGAUUGACAGAUUGAUAGCUCUUUCUUGAUUGUAUGGGUGGUGGUGCAUGGCCGUUCUUAGUUGGUGGAGUGAUUUGUCUGCCUAAUCGCGAUAACGAACGAGACCUUGACCUGCUAAAUAGCCCGAUUGACUUUUGUCGGUCGCUGGCUUCUUAGAGGGACUUUUGGCUCAAGCCAAUGGAAGUACGAGGCAAUAACAGGUCUGUGAUGCCCUUAGAUGUUCUGGGCUGCACGCGCGCUACACUGACAGAGCCAGCGAGUACAUCACCUUGGCCGAAAGGUCUGGGUAAUCUUGUUAAACUCUGUCGUGCUGGGGAUAGAGCAUUGCAAUUAUUGCUCUUCAACGAGGAAUGCCUAGUAAGCGCAAGUCAUCAGCUUGCGUUGAUUACGUCCCUGCCCUUUGUACACACCGCCCGUCGCUACUACCGAUUGAAUGGCUCAGUGAGGCCUUGGGACUGGCUCAGAAAGGUCGGCAACGACCAUUCAGAGCCGGAAACUUGGUCAAACUUGGUCAUUUAGAGGAAGUAAAAGUCGUA
The sequence is a ribosomal RNA, 1602 nucleotides long. It matches the Rfam family "Eukaryotic small subunit ribosomal RNA", at positions 161 to 1793 of the family's 1831-position model.